GGAAAAGUAGUCCAGACACCAGUAUAAGAUGCUCAAGAAUUUAAUGUCUAUUGUAAUAAAACAGUGAGGAGAGAACUCAUUUGCAAAAAGAAGUAGUGGAAGAAGCCAGAUCCAGUUUGUAGUGGUUAAUGACAUACACGGGAGAGGACCAGAUUGCUGCCUUAUAUAUAUCAUCAGGAGGAACCACUGCCCAGCUAGAUCAGAAUGUGGAUAGUGAUCUUGUG
Pelobates cultripes (western spadefoot toad) is the source of this 224-nucleotide non-coding RNA. Lineage: Eukaryota; Metazoa; Chordata; Amphibia; Anura; Pelobatidae. The record is from the annotation of a GenBank genome assembly.